Molecule: non-coding RNA, 73 nt
Organism: Parelaphostrongylus tenuis
Lineage: Eukaryota; Metazoa; Nematoda; Chromadorea; Rhabditida; Metastrongylidae
Source: the annotation of a GenBank genome assembly
GGCCUCGUCGAUGUAGUGGUAGCACGCGCUCCUGGCAAAGGCGAAACGCGGGUUCAACCCCUGAUUGAGGUCC